CCUACGGGUGGCAGCAGUGAGGAAUAUUGGUCAAUGGACGAGAGUCUGAACCAGCCAAGUAGCGUGAAGGAUGACUGCCCUAUGGGUUGUAAACUUCUUUUAUAAAGGAAUAAAACGAGGCACGUGUGCCUUUUUGCAUGUACUUUAUGAAUAAGGAUCGGCUAACUCCGUGCCAGCAGCCGCGGUAAUACGGAGGAUCCGAGCGUUAUCCGGAUUUAUUGGGUUUAAAGGGAGCGUAGAUGGGUUGUUAAGUCAGUGGUGAAAGUUUGCGGCUCAACCGUAAAAUUGCAAUUGAUACUGGCAGUCUUGAGUAUAGUUGCGGUAGGCGGAAUGCGUGGUGUAGCGGUGAAAUGCUUAGAUAUCACGCAGAACCCCGAUUGCGAAGGCAGCUUACUAAACUGUGACUGACAUUGAUGCUCGAAAGUGUGGGUAGCAAACAGGAUUAGAUACCCCUGUAGUC
RNAcentral lists this ribosomal RNA (460 nucleotides) under uncultured bacterium. RNAcentral describes it as "partial 16S ribosomal RNA". It matches the Rfam family "Bacterial small subunit ribosomal RNA", at positions 338 to 795 of the family's 1533-position model. The record is from RNAcentral.